GUGGCGAUCCAAUUCGUCGACCAUCGCUAACUCCCUCUCGAUGAUGGCCAGCCUGCAGGAAAGCACGAGGCCAUGAGAGCGAAGGGAGAUCAAUGGCAAUAAGGUCUUGCUGAGGGUGGAAGAAGAGCGACUCGAUGGGAUACUAUCAUUGAGGAGAGAACAACUCGAUGGGUAUAAAGUAAGUAAAAGAACCGACAGAAAUCGAGGCGUCGUGCGGCGCGCAGUAGGCGACGCGAUCCCUUCUGGUACCGCUGCCGACGACAUCGUCGGCCGACCACUCUCUGCUGGUGCUGCAGGCCGCCACCUCGCCGCUCCCGUAGCAACAGCUUUCGGAACCACCAAAAUCCCUCUGGUCGCCGGCCCGGUCGACCAACCUACGUCGAGAUCACGCCGCCUCGGGUGAAACGAAGUUGAGAAGUAAUAGGCUGCAGGAACAUCUCCAAGAUGAAGUGAGGAUAUUAACUAGGAAGAUGACAUGGCUUCUCGGACAAAGCUCUCUGGCUUGCAAAGGCAGGUGUUAGGGCUAUACAGGGAGUUUCUUCGGGCAGCUCGUCUAAAGGAACCAGAAGAGCGUUUAAGGAUUGAAUCUAUUGUCUCAGUUGAGUUUCGCCAGAAUGCGAUGAAUGUCGACCGCAAGAAUUUCCUAUACAUCGAGUAUUUACUCCGUCGAGGCAAGAAGCAGCUUGAGCAACUGAAGAGCCCUGAUACUCUGAGAUUAUCUACUUUGGAAGUAGGGAAAACACCUCAGUAAGUAAAUGGUUUCUCUCGAUAAGUUUUUGUCGUAAACCUUUUGACAAAGAGGACAUGGACAUUUGGUGAUUCUAUUAUCAACUAGUGUUGUUACACUUGCUCACAUGGAUUAAUGUAGUGAUCUUAAUGACUGGAAAGAGUUUUUACAUGAGAAAUCUGUUUCAGCUUACA
This is an RNA transcript of Musa acuminata AAA Group (dessert banana), 921 nucleotides long. RefSeq lists it as uncharacterized. NCBI's taxonomy places the organism in Eukaryota, Viridiplantae, Streptophyta, Magnoliopsida, Zingiberales, Musaceae. The transcript is spliced from 4 exons. The record is from RefSeq and is a predicted model, not a curated record.